RNAcentral lists this long non-coding RNA (843 nucleotides) under Canis lupus familiaris (dog). RNAcentral's name for it is "lncRNA (ENSCAFG00000050753.1)". Lineage: Eukaryota; Metazoa; Chordata; Mammalia; Carnivora; Canidae. The record is from RNAcentral.
CGCCCCGCCCCUCGUGGACGAGCGCGCCCCCGCGCCGGCGUCCCCGGGGCGCGCGUCCUCGCUGCCCGGGCCGGUGCGGCGGGAGGGGCCUCCGCGAGAAGCGCGCUCUCCCCGGGCGCGGGAAAGCUCACGCCGCCGGGGGCCUCCUGGCACCUGCCGCGGGGACUGCAGGGGAAGCCGCUUAAAUCGCCUGCCUUUGCCUUCUCACCCUCGCCCUUGAAGAAGCAUGGUGAUUUGGGCCAUCCAGUGCCAGCCUGAAAAAAGCACAGAGGAGCAGUGGUGUGUGACUUGAGGGCAGAGGCCAAAACACCUCCCCCCCCUUCCCAACUGCAGUAGAAAUUCCUUCCUUAGGUAAGAUCCAUGCUGCUAGAGGAGUCCUCAGGGCCACUGCCACAACACUGGAUGUCAGGAUUGAGCACUCCGCAGACCAUACUACAGGCUUCUCCCACAGCUCCUGGUGAAACCUGGUCUCUUAAGUGCUUCAUAUGCUGAGGAUUUCACCUCUGCACAUGCAAAUUGCCCCCUUCCAUCUGAUCAAAACCUUUUAGACUUCAGCCUGGCACUCCUUCCCUCUGUCAGCCUCCAGUCAACAAGAACUCUGCAUCACCCAUUCACAGAUGCUCAGGAGCAUCACAUGGCUGAAACCAUGAUAGGCCACAGAAUAUGUGAGACCCCUUAUCUCUACUCAUGUGGUUUUGUUGUUUUCAGAGAAUAAUAAUGUAUACAUUAAUUAAUGUAUUAAUAGAUUGUAUAUUAACAGAUUAUGCACUAAUGUAAUUAAUAUUUUAUAGUUAAUAAUUAUAUUACUUAUGUUUUAACAAUUAAUACAUACUUAUGAAUAAG